Molecule: long non-coding RNA, 724 nt
Organism: Drosophila persimilis
Lineage: Eukaryota; Metazoa; Arthropoda; Insecta; Diptera; Drosophilidae
Exons: 3
Source: RefSeq, a predicted model, not a curated record
GGUUCGUCCGAAAACGGCAUCUGGACAGAUGUCGGCAGCUAUCAGGCCAUCAUUCGGGCCCGAGUCGAUGGCAAUGAUAGCGUGGAGCUGGCCUAUAAGCUGGAAGGAGUUUCAGCGCUGGCCCUGGACCAAGUGCGAUAUGUUCUACUACGCCCAUGGCAAGCGAAUCAAUGGAAAGAACAAGUGAACAACCUUACCGCCUAGGGAGGAUUUGUGUACUGGCUGGACGACAAGACCGGACUGGAGCGGAUCACUGUCAACGGAGAGCGUCGUUCCGCGGAGCUGCACCGUGUGAGGUGUGACAUGCAGUACUCAGGAUCUCUGCUCGUGCCCGAAGCAUCUGAUGCUACUGGAGGACAAGGAAAACUACAGCGUGUAGCCGGCCAGAUAAUUUUAAGUGGCGGGAGCAACAACGACCAACAGCCUUCUGGCGCAGUGACAAAGUUACUGCCCGGCGGAUCAGUUCAGCUGACAGUCAGCCGAGUGCAGCGACAAGGCUCUGAUCUGCGAUGGUACCACCUGCGACAACUGUGACAAUGCCCACGAUGAGGCCGACUGCUGCAAGCGGCCAUGAGACUUUCAGUGUCCCAUCAACAAGCUUUGCAUAUCGGCCGCGAGCCAAAGUAUCGAGCUCUAAUGGCUCCAUCGAAUAAGUUGGGACUUGUCGCCAUGUCGUAUAAAAUUAUGUGGGCAUGGCUAAAUGUUCUAUAUAGCUAGUAAUAUU